This 252-nucleotide long non-coding RNA is filed under the name Elaeis guineensis (African oil palm). RNAcentral describes it as "long non-coding RNA (EGUI_LNC010900)". The record is from RNAcentral. Lineage: Eukaryota; Viridiplantae; Streptophyta; Magnoliopsida; Arecales; Arecaceae.
GCCCUAGGACAGAUUAAGAGCUACGCUAUAACGGGCAUAGGUUGAGCUAUUCUGAGGACGUGGGAUAAUUAUCAAAUGACAUCUGAUAUGGUGGUUUAUGUGAAUACCCGGUGGCUUAUUACAGAGAGUUAUAGAAAAGUAAGCAACCAUUAAUCUGAUCUGUAUUCAAUCUGUCAUAAAUAAAUUUGGAUUUAAGCUAGAUGAAUUUGAGUUAUUAAUAGAUCAAUCCAUUUAAUCUGUUUAAUAUUUAGA